Molecule: long non-coding RNA, 928 nt
Filed under: Dermacentor andersoni
Lineage: Eukaryota; Metazoa; Arthropoda; Arachnida; Ixodida; Ixodidae
Description: uncharacterized LOC126518945
Source: RNAcentral
UACGAAGGUCGUAAUGGCCCUUACGGCCUGAAUCUGACGCAGUUGGGUCGAUGUGGUAUGCAUUGACAACACUUGUGUAGGCGUACGAUUGGCAAGUGAUAGUUGCUUUUCGUUCGUGUUUCUUCUCACGUGUGAAAGCGGCGUAGAAGUCAAAACAGUCGUCGUCAACCGGCGCUACGUAGAAGCAGGUUAUUAGCGGCUCAUGCAUGCAGUUAUCGCAGCAAGAUAACAGCAAAUGUGGAGAGUGCUCUUCAUCUCUGACAUCCUGAAGCCUCAAUUGGUCUGCUACAGAAAUGCUUUGCCAUCACUUCUACCAUUGUGCAAACUCAUCACAAGUGCCAUGUCUUCAUCAUAGAGAAGGGAACCGAAGAGAAGGCAAUCAUUGGCGAGAAUACGAUGCGUGCGUCGGCCAUGGAUAGCGGCGAUGCGAACUUUUGGGAAUGUUCAUCGAGACAGUUGCGUCUGGCUAGGUCGCAGUAGUGGCAUACAAUCGGUUUAGGAUUCUCGGUCGUCUCCAUGUCGGAAACUUCCGGUUCCCGAAGGUCGCCGUACGUUUCGAGACCAGUGCUUGGAUCGCAAAGCUGCCCGGGACACUCGAGAGAGGGCAAAACUGCCAUCGAUUACACCAAGGUUGCCAUCGAGGUGAGUCACUUGGCCCCGACAACCUACAAUACCUACAGGACGGAAAAGAAGCGAAGGUCGAGUACAACAUUGGUAAAGAGCCUGAAGACAAAAAAUUGUCAACAGUGCCAUUUGACACUCGGCAGCCGUAUCUUGCAUUGCUCCCAGGUUUCACCGUGGAAUACGUAUGAAUCUUGGUGACAAGUUUGCAUAAGGUCAGCCAUGCCUGCUACAUUUGAAAGGAUGUUUUACGUGACCCUGAAGUCUACAAUGCUAUGUUAUCACCUGGAGCUGGCUGAAAGAAUGU